GCUUAAUUUUCGCCUUGAUAAUUUUAUUCAAUUAACUUGUACUUCAGAUACCCGUUCGGCCAUUUAGACAUAAUGAAUACGAGAGAUUUAUCCCAGCUGCCUUCCCCUACUAUGGAGCGUCAUUUUCAACUAUGGCUGGUUUCUUCAUAUUCACAAUUGUUUACCUCUACAAUAAAUAGAUUGCUUUAGCCCAGUGGAAAGUGCUGCGGCAGAUUUCUAAUAGAGCAUUGAGGUGAUGAGCAUUUUAGCACCUUUUAGUUUGAGCUUUAGGCUUGAAUUGUUUUUUUUUUUGGUAAAAUUUUGGACAAGUUUACGCGCAACUUAUUUAACAGCUUUUUAAUAUAUCUUAAUGGCCCCUGCCUUGUCUUCUUGAUAAAAUCAAAGUUGUAAUCCUUAGCACUUCUAAUGAAUGAAGUUACUGCUC
Dendrobium catenatum is the source of this 424-nucleotide long non-coding RNA. RefSeq lists it as uncharacterized. The record is from RefSeq and is a predicted model, not a curated record. The transcript has 2 exons. NCBI's taxonomy places the organism in Eukaryota, Viridiplantae, Streptophyta, Magnoliopsida, Asparagales, Orchidaceae.